Molecule: non-coding RNA, 426 nt
Organism: Cricetulus griseus (Chinese hamster)
Lineage: Eukaryota; Metazoa; Chordata; Mammalia; Rodentia; Cricetidae
Source: RefSeq, a predicted model, not a curated record
AUGGCUGAUCAGCUGACUGAAGCACAGAUUGUUGAAUUCAAGGAAACUUUCUCCAUAUUUGAUAAAGAUGGUGAUGGGACUGUUAUGCGGUCACUGGGUCAGAACCCAACAGAAGCUGAGUUCCAGGAUAUGAUCAACGGAGUGGAUGCUGAUGGGAGUGGCACCGCCGACUUCCCAGAGUUCUUGACCCCGAUGGCUAGAAAAAUGAAAGAUACAGAUUAUGAAGAAGAAAUCCGCAAGGCAUUCCGAGUUUUUGACAAGGAUGGGGAUGGUUACAUCAGCGCAGCAGAACGGUGCCACAUCAUGACCAACUUAGAAGAAAAACUAACAGAUGAAGAAGGAGAUGAAAUGAUCAGAGAAUCAGAUAUUGAUGGAGACGGACAAGGCAAAUAUGAAGAAUUUGUACAGAUGAAAACUGCAGAAUGA